GACGAACGCUGGCGGCGUGCUUAACACAUGCAGGUCGAACGGAAAGGCCCUGCUUUUGUGGGGUGCUCGAGUGGCGAACGGGUGAGUAACACGUGAGUAACCUGCCCUUGACUUUGGGAUAACUUCAGGAAACUGGGGCUAAUACCGGAUAGGAGCUCCUGCUGCAUGGUGGGGGUUGGAAAGUUUCGGCGGUUGGGGAUGGACUCGCGGCUUAUCAGCUUGUUGGUGGGGUAGUGGCUUACCAAGGCUUUGACGGGUAGCCGGCCUGAGAGGGUGACCGGCCCCAUUGGGACUGAGAUACGGCCCAGACUCCUACGGGAGGCAGCAGUGGGGAAUAUUGCACAAUGGGCGGAAGCCUGAUGCAGCAACGCCGCGUGCGUGAUGACGGCCUUCGGGUUGUAAACCGCUUUCGCCUGUGACGAAGCGUGAGUGACGGUAAUGGGUAAAGAAGCACCGGCUAACUACGUG
RNAcentral lists this ribosomal RNA (468 nucleotides) under uncultured bacterium. Its description in RNAcentral is "partial 16S ribosomal RNA". It matches the Rfam family "Bacterial small subunit ribosomal RNA", at positions 28 to 507 of the family's 1533-position model. The record is from RNAcentral.